GAUGAACGCUGGCGGCGUGCCUAAUACAUGCAAGUCGAGCGAACGGACGAGAAGCUUUCUUUUCUGAUGUUAGCGGCGGACGGGUGAGUAACACGUGGAUAACCUACCUAUAAGACUUGGAUAACUUCGGGAAACCGGAGCUAAUACCGGAUAAUAUUUUGAACCGCAUGGUUCAAAAGUGAAAGACGGUCUUGCUGUCACUUAUAGAUGGAUCCGCGCUGCAUUAGCUAGUUGGUAAGGUAACGGCUUACCAAGGCAACGAUGCAUAGCCGACCUGAGAGGGUGAUCGGCCACACUGGAACUGAGACACGGUCCAGACUCCUACGGGAGGCAGCAGUAGGGAAUCUUCCGCAAUGGGCGAAAGCCUGACGGAGCAACGCCGCGUGAGUGAUGAAGGUCUUCGGAUCGUAAAACUCUGUUAUUAGGGAAGAACAUAUGUGUAAGUAACUGUGCACAUCUUGACGGUACCUAAUCAGAAAGCCACGGCUAACUACGUG
This 497-nucleotide ribosomal RNA is filed under the name uncultured bacterium. Its description in RNAcentral is "partial 16S ribosomal RNA". It matches the Rfam family "Bacterial small subunit ribosomal RNA", at positions 28 to 507 of the family's 1533-position model. The record is from RNAcentral.